CCUACGGGAGGCUGCAGUGGGGAAUAUUGGACAAUGGGGGGAACCCUGAUCCAGCCAUGCCGCGUGUGUGAAGAAGGCCCUCGGGUUGUAAAGCACUGUCAGUGAGGAAGAACGCCUGGUGGUUAAUACCCAUCAGGAAAGACAUCACUCACAGAAGAAGCACCGGCUAACUCCGUGCCAGCAACCGCGGUAAUACGGAGGGUGCGAGCGUUAAUCGGAAUUACUGGGCGUAAAGCGCGCGUAGGUGGCUUGAUAAGCCGGUUGUGAAAGCCCCGGGCUCAACCUGGGAACGGCAUCCGGAACUGUCAAGCUUGAGUGCAGGAGAGGAAGGUAGAAUUCCCGGUGUAGCGGUGAAAUGCGUAGAGAUCUGGAGGAAUACCAGUGGCGAAGGCGGCCUUCUGGACUGAAACUGACACUGAGGUGCGAAAGCGUGGGUAGCAAACAGGAUUAGAUACCCUAGUAGUC
RNAcentral lists this ribosomal RNA (465 nucleotides) under Vreelandella stevensii. RNAcentral's name for it is "partial 16S ribosomal RNA". It matches the Rfam family "Bacterial small subunit ribosomal RNA", at positions 338 to 795 of the family's 1533-position model. The record is from RNAcentral. Lineage: Bacteria; Pseudomonadati; Pseudomonadota; Gammaproteobacteria; Oceanospirillales; Halomonadaceae.